UACGUAGGGUGCAAGCGUUGUCCGGAAUUAUUGGGCGUAAAGAGCUCGUAGGCGGUGUGUCGCGUCGGCCGUGAAAACCUGCAGCUUAACUGUGGGCGUGCGGUCGAUACGGGCAUCACUGGAGUCCGGCAGGGGAGACUGGAAUUCCUGGUGUAGCGGUGAAAUGCGCAGAUAUCAGGAGGAACACCGGUGGCGAAGGCGGGUCUCUGGGCCGAUACUGACGCUGAGGAGCGAAAGCGUGGGGAGCAAACAGG
Molecule: ribosomal RNA, 254 nt
Filed under: uncultured bacterium
Lineage: Bacteria
Description: partial 16S ribosomal RNA
Rfam family: Bacterial small subunit ribosomal RNA
Source: RNAcentral